GGGACAGCUCGAAAAUCGGGGAGUAGGCUGAAUGGCUGGGGCUCCAGACUCCAGCCUGGGAUGCGGGAGCGUCUGCGGUGCUGUGAGCCGGGACCGCGCCUCCCUCCCUGCCUUCCGGUCUUUCUUCCCCGCGGGGCGGAAAGGAGAGAAAAUGAUCCACAGUCUGUUUCUCAUAAACUGUUCCGGUGACAUAUUUCUAGAGAAGCACUGGAAGAGCGUUGUGAGCCAGUCUGUCUGUGAUUAUUUCUUUGAGGCUCAAGAGAAAGCUGUUGAUGUUGAAAAUGUACCACCUGUUAUUUCAACACCUCAUCACUACCUCAUCAGUAUCUACCGGGAUAAGCUCUUCUUUGUGUCUGUCAUACAGACUGAAGUGCCACCUCUCUUUGUAAUUGAGUUUCUACAUAGAGUUGCUGACACUUUUCAGGACUACUUUGGUGAGUGUUCGGAGGCUGCAAUUAAGGAUAAUGUGGUCAUCGUAUAUGAACUCUUGGAAGAAAUGUUAGACAAUGGAUUUCCACUGGCUACUGAAUCUAACAUUUUGAAAGAAUUGAUUAAACCACCAACAAUUCUACGUUCUGUUGUCAACUCUAUUACAGGCAGUAGUAAUGUUGGGGACACACUCCCCACUGGGCAGCUGUCCAACAUCCCAUGGCGCCGGGCUGGGGUAAAAUACACAAACAAUGAAGCCUAUUUUGAUGUCGUUGAAGAAAUAGAUGCAAUUAUAGAUAAAUCAGGAUCUACAGUCUUUGCAGAAAUUCAAGGGGUCAUAGAUGCUUGCAUUAAGCUAUCUGGAAUGCCUGACCUUUCCCUUUCUUUCAUGAACCCAAGGCUUCUAGAUGAUGUCAGCUUCCACCCCUGCAUCCGGUUCAAGCGUUGGGAAUCUGAAAGGGUUUUGUCAUUUAUUCCUCCAGAUGGAAAUUUCCGACUCAUAUCAUACCGUGUCAGCUCGCAAAAUCUAGUGGCAAUACCAGUGUAUGUGAAACAUAGCAUCAGCUUCAAGGAGAACAGUUCUUGUGGCAGAUUUGAUAUUACAAUUGGACCAAAGCAGAACAUGGGGAAAACCAUUGAAGGAAUCACAGUGACAGUUCACAUGCCAAAGGUUGUGUUGAAUAUGAACCUGACACCAACACAAGGCAGCUAUACAUUUGAUCCAGUUACCAAGGUACAGCUACCUCAGAUCAAGAGUACUAACAUGGGAUGUGGGAAAAAUUACUCCACAAAAGCUCCCAAGUCUUAAAGGACUGGUAAACUUACAGUCUGGAGCACCCAAGCCAGAAGAGAAUCCAAGCCUCAACAUACAGUUCAAAAUCCAGCAGCUUGCUAUUUCAGGCUUAAAAGUAAACCGCUUGGACAUGUAUGGAGAGAAAUACAAGCCAUUUAAAGGAGUCAAAUAUGUCACAAAAGCUGGAAAGUUCCAAGUGAGGACAUGAGAAGAGGCCAGAAUUCCUCAAGAUCUGUUUGUUUUCCAAGUGUCAUUACAGUUUAUUACUAUUAGGUACCAGUUGGGUGGGAAUACAUAAUCUAGUUAAAGCAUUUGUGUCGAGCCACACACUGCUAACAGAGUUGCUUAGAAUCAAUGUAGAGUUCAAGGAGCUUUAAGCUAAGGAAACUUUUGAAUGACUUAGCGUAUUUGUCUUAGCUUAUUAAGAAAGAUUUGGAGGUGACUUCCUCCAUAGGGAAGGCACCAGCUCGAGGCUGCAUAUUUUAAUAGUAAAGGCAAAAGUCUACAGUGAUAACCUCUUUCCUAAAACAGGAACUGGUCUCAAUCAGCAGGAGCUGUCUUAUUAUGUAAUGUGAUGUAUCAAGUGCAGCCAAAUGUCAUACCUGAUUUUAGCCACCCCAAAUCAGUAUCUGUCCCAACAGAGGAAGAGUUCCCCCCACCCCAAGAAGUUUACAAAAAACUGCCUCUUCAAGUGUUUGCCUUAUUCAGCUUUUCACGUGUGCCAUUAAGCAAGCACUGUAGCAGAAGCCACUCCACAUGGCCCAGGCAGGGACAGCACUGCUGCUCCCUGCUCCAUUCUCACUGUACUUGGUAUUGUAUUUUUUAUAAAUAAGAUUUUUAUGUAAAGCUCAGAUUUUGAUUUACAGGGACCUUGCUGCAGUAAGUACCAUCUCAGUUUUGUGCCAUUUUGUUCAGCUUCUAGCACAGUAAAAAUCAAUGUAUCAGAGGGGCGAAUACUUUAAGGUAAUAAAAGGGAACACUACUUCUGCUCUUAGGAAGUUAUUGUAAGCACAAGCAUUUGAGAUUUUAAGCAAAUUAACAUAGUAAAAAAACUUCAGUGAACCUUUGCCAUCUUCAUAUUUUAUAAAGCUUACUCAGCAUCACCUAAACCAUAGUUCGCCUAAAGGCCUCAUGCCCUAGUUCAGCUAAAGGAGGAAAAUGUGCCUGCCUCACUAUCAUCAACUUUUUUUUUAAUCCUUUAUCCUUUUUUGUUGUUCUUAAGGGUCUGAAUCUGCCUACAUUGCUUGUCUUCAGGGGAACUCCCUUUUCAUUUUGCGUGCUUCUUAAGGCUAUAGUCAGUAGAUUCCUUCCUGAACCUGUUGUUGUAAUUGUCACUGCAGUGCCUGCACAGGUCUGCUGUACUGACACAGUAGAAGGCAGUACGUCAUAAUGAGGCAGAAACAAAAUCCUCAGUAACACUGAUAAACCUGUAUUGAUCUUCCUGGUUGGCAAGUCCAUCUGCAGCCACACCAUUUCAUUUAAUUUUACUGGCUUAGAAGUCCUUGCGGAGUUAUUUUGUCCCAUUAGACGUGAAGAAUGGAGAAAAGUUAAAUGUAAGUGCUUAUUCUUCAUGUUUCCUUCUUAUUCUUACUCAUGCUAUUAGUUUUCUUUUAUGUGUGACUCCAUUCUUUUAAUUCUUCUCAGCUUAUAACUCCCUUUCCCUUACCAUGCUAAGGAUAGCCCUUACACUCACCCCAUUCUGCUGCCAAGGGCUGCAGUUGGUGCUGGUACAGGGAGUCCACUCUACAGCAGCAUUCUUACCUUUGCCUGCUUAGGGCGCCCAGCCUGCCUUUCAUCUAACAGGAGAGUUCACUUGAAACCUUGCAGUUUCUAGGGUAACCAAGAUCAGCUUGGCAGCUAAAAAUCACGAUGUUGCCAAAUACUUACUCUCUUUGCCUGAGGUUGGUUACCCAGUUCAGUUGCUUUUCAUUUUUAAUGUCUUCCUCCUCAGAGUUCGUACCUCAGAAGAGCAGUCAGUACAUUUGCUUUCCUUUCUGUAGAAUCCCUAAUCUCAACCAUCGUAUCUGGACUAAUUUCCUUUCUGUGCUGUCUUCUCAUAUGCAAGCGGAUGCCAAGAGUCCCUUGCCGCUAGUAGUUUUCUGCUAAAACUUGCAAGUAGAUUAUUCCCUUUUACAAUUAAAUUAUUGUAUUUAUUAAUUUAAUUGAAUCCAAUAAGCCCUUUUCUCUUUCUGGCUAUACUGUCAAUAAAAAGAUGAAAGUAACAAGCUGAUUUUUUAGCUUGACUGUUGAUUGAGCAUUCUCAGAUGGGCAUGCUUCAGUGUUAGAGCAGGCUGAACAUGAUCACAUUUUAUUCUGCAUCAUCACACAAGGUGUGUGAGUUGCUGCAAAGCACUCCAAAGUGCUCUUCUCUUAGCCUCAUUAUGUUAACAGCCCUGUAUACUUUCUCUAAGCAUCUGCCUUCUAGCCACAGAACAGUAAGUGAUCAAAGCUACUUUCCCUACCACCACCUACGAAUAACAAAGAUCCAUGAAUACUUAGUAGUAGUGAAAUAUUUUUCAAGCAAAGAAUUCCAUAUAAUCCAAGAAUAACUCUGUUUUCUAAAUUCUUAAAGGAGUACAUUCCAAGAGCUCAUUUUCUGCAUAAAAUGAGUCAGCAUAAUUUUAUUCAAAGGGAAGUCAUGUGAUGGGUUCAUGCCGUAAGUGGUACUACAGAAGAACCCGUGGAAGAUACUGGUCCUGUGGUCUCUCUUAGAGCCAUCUGAUUUGAGAAAACAAACUAUAAUACAGCAGGAAGGCAGCACCAGUGAACAUAUGGUAAGUAGCAAAAACGAGACCAUGAGUACUGUUUUCAGAUAUUGCUGAGCCAACUCAGUAGCCUUGGACUUUUCUCUUUAAUUCAAACAGCUGGGAUCUGCAUCCCUAGUCAGCAACUUUUCUGAGUUAAAGCAGUGACAAAUGUAGUAGGCAGCACUGUCAUCCUUUAAAGUAAUUUACCCCUUUUAGAUCUAGAAAAUCAGGCAAAAACAGUGAUGUCCCAGCUUUACUCCAAGAACCUGCUCCUACUCUUAGAGCUUCCUCAACCACAAAGAGGAAAAUGUCCCCCAAAGGUAGCUCUGCCUCAUGGCUCUGGUAGGUCCCUGACACCCUAUUGUUCUGUACUGGGUUUGGGAAUAUGAAAGAUAGACCUGCGAUACUGCUGCACAUGUAACAGCUUUAAAGCUUCUUAGGGCAUGGUGAUGGCCUCCAAGUAGAGCUAGCAUUUCUAUGACGAGGACAGACUACUUCAACCAGGGGAUGAGCCACAUCCGCUGCUUUCCUCUCACUGUUAAGUUAACCUUGUCCCUUCUGCUCCUGCUAGUGUAAAAUCCCCAAAGUAUCCUCUAGUACCCAGAUCCUUGUCAAGUAAAUAUAUUACUGCUAGUUCCUUCCAGUACAGCAUUUAGAUUAAAUAAAACUAAUUUCCACAUCGUGA
This is an RNA transcript of Camelus dromedarius (Arabian camel), 4654 nucleotides long. It is a transcript of the gene named adaptor related protein complex 3 subunit mu 1, with no coding region annotated. The transcript is spliced from 9 exons. NCBI's taxonomy places the organism in Eukaryota, Metazoa, Chordata, Mammalia, Artiodactyla, Camelidae. The record is from RefSeq and is a predicted model, not a curated record.